AUUUAUUAAAUUGGAUUUAUAAGACGUGUAAGAUUUAAGUGAUUGAAAAUAAUGUUUCGUUUAAUCUAAAUAGCUGCAUUUCAGAGGUAGAGGUGAAUAUUUGUUCACGGAAAGAAAGAAAUCCGCUCUGCUGCUAAUUUCUAUUUAUGAUUAUAGAAUCGUUAAUUUUACCAAGAAAACCAAUACAAUCAACUAAUAGUUUCGUUCUUACAAUUUAUCCAAACUUAUUUGAUCGCUAUUAGAAAGUGAUAGCUGGUGCUGUAGGAUACUUGGUUGUAGAAAAAUAUGAAUUGUGGGCGACAGUUUUUGAGUGCCUGUAUCUCUAAAGGCACCACCAAAUCAUCGUCUAAUUAUGAAGUGUGAUAUUGUAUUAACUACGUGAGGCCCUGCGUUUGACGAAGUAGGACGAUGUUUUGCGUGCAGAAGCCGACGAGAUCCGCCAUUUUGAAGCCGGC
Molecule: long non-coding RNA, 455 nt
Organism: Topomyia yanbarensis
Lineage: Eukaryota; Metazoa; Arthropoda; Insecta; Diptera; Culicidae
Exons: 3
Source: RefSeq, a predicted model, not a curated record